This 492-nucleotide ribosomal RNA is filed under the name uncultured bacterium. Its description in RNAcentral is "partial 16S ribosomal RNA". It matches the Rfam family "Bacterial small subunit ribosomal RNA", at positions 29 to 507 of the family's 1533-position model. The record is from RNAcentral.
AGUGAACGCUGGCGGUAGGCCUAACACAUGCAAGUCGAACGGCAGCACAGUAAGAGCUUGCUCUUACGGGUGGCGAGUGGCGGACGGGUGAGGAAUACAUCGGAAUCUACUUUUUCGUGGGGGAUAACGUAGGGAAACUUACGCUAAUACCGCAUACGACCUACGGGUGAAAGCAGGGGAUCUUCGGACCUUGCGCGAUUGAAUGAGCCGAUGUCGGAUUAGCUAGUUGGCGGGUGAAAGGCCCACCAAGGCGACGAUCCGUAGCUGGUCUGAGAGGAUGAUCAGCCACACUGGAACUUGGACACGGUCCAAACUCCUGCGGGAGGCAGCAGUGGGGAAUAUUGGCCAAUGGGCGCAAGCCUGAUCCAGCCAUACCGCGUGGGUGAAGAAGGCCUUCGGGUUGUAAAGCCCUUUUGUUGGGAAAGAAAAGCAGCAGGUUAAUACCCCGCUGUUCUGACGGUACCCAAAGAAUAAGCACCGGCUAACUUCGUG